RNAcentral lists this ribosomal RNA (253 nucleotides) under uncultured bacterium. RNAcentral describes it as "partial 16S ribosomal RNA". It matches the Rfam family "Bacterial small subunit ribosomal RNA", at positions 524 to 776 of the family's 1533-position model. The record is from RNAcentral.
UACGGAGGGGGCAAGCGUUAUCCGGAAUCACUGGGUUUAAAGGGUGCGUAGGCGGCGCAGUAAGUCAGAGGUGAAAGCCUGCAGCUCAACUGUAGAAUUGCCUUUGAUACUGCUGCGCUUGAAUCAGGUUGAGGUUGGCGGAAUGUGGCAUGUAGCGGUGAAAUGCAUAGAUAUCCCAUAGAACACCAAUUGCGAAGGCAGCUGACUGGGCCUGAAUUGACGCUGAGGCACGAAAGCGUGGGGAGCAAACACG